GAAAUAUUUUUAAAAUUAAGCUUCUAACUUAAUUACAAGCAUAAUUAGAUGUUUAUAUUUCU
This 62-nucleotide transfer RNA is filed under the name Leiochrinini sp. 2 ACP-2013. RNAcentral describes it as "tRNA-Ser". The record is from RNAcentral. Lineage: Eukaryota; Metazoa; Arthropoda; Insecta; Coleoptera; Tenebrionidae.